GAAGCUUCGGCAGAUUCUUGUAAAUUCUUAGUGGCGGACGGGUGAGUAACGCGUGGGCAACCUGCCUCAUACUGGGGGAUAACAGCUGGAAACGACUGUUAAUACCGCAUAAGCGCACGGUAUCGCAUGAUACAGUGUGAAAAACUCCGGUGGUAUGAGAUGGGCCCGCGUCAGAUUAGCCAGUUGGCAGGGUAACGGCCUACCAAAGCGACGAUCUGUAGCCGGCCUGAGAGGGCGGACGGCCACAUUGGGACUGAGACACGGCCCAAACUCCUACGGGAGGCAGCAGUGGGGGAUAUUGCACAAUGGAGGAAACUCUGAUGCAGCGACGCCGCGUGAGUGAAGAAGUAUUUCGGUAUGUAACGCUCUAUCAGCAGGGAAGAAAGACUCGUAAGAGAGAUGACGGUACCUGACUAAGAAGCCCCGGCUAACUACGUGCCAGCAGCCGCGGUAAUACGUAGGGGGCAAGCGUUAUCCGGAUUUACUGGGUGUAAAGGGAGCGCAGACGGUCAAGCAAGUCUGAAGUGAAACCCCACGGCUCAACCGUGGGCUUGCUUUGGAAACUGUUUGACUAGAGUACUGGAGAGGUAAGCGGA
Molecule: ribosomal RNA, 596 nt
Filed under: uncultured rumen bacterium
Lineage: Bacteria
Description: bacterial SSU rRNA
Rfam family: Bacterial small subunit ribosomal RNA
Source: RNAcentral